RNAcentral lists this unclassified non-coding RNA (329 nucleotides) under soil metagenome. RNAcentral describes it as "partial contains 5.8S ribosomal RNA, internal transcribed spacer 2, and large subunit ribosomal RNA". The stretch from base 1 to 120 matches the Rfam family "5.8S ribosomal RNA", at positions 35 to 154 of the family's 154-position model. The record is from RNAcentral.
GAUGAAGAACGCAGCGAAAUGCGAUAAGUAAUGUGAAUUGCAGAAUUCAGUGAAUCAUGGAAUCUUUGAACGCACAUUGCGCCCCCUGGUAUUCCGGGGGGCAUGCCUGUCCGAGCGUCAUUACAACCCUCAAGCUCAGCUUGGUGUUGGGCCCCGCCGCCCCGGCGGGCCCUAAAGUCAGUGGCGGUGCCGUCCGGCUCCGAGCGUAGUAAUUCUUCUCGCUCUGGAGGUCCGGUCGUGUGCUCGCCAGCAACCCCCAAUUUUUUUCAGGUUGACCUCGGAUCAGGUAGGGAUACCCGCUGAACUUAAGCAUAUCAAUAAGCGGAGGA